UCUUAUCAAGAGCGGCGGAGGGAACAGGCCCUGUGAUGUCCGGCAACCUGCAAGUGCAAGGUGCUAAAUCCUGCGGUAUUACCGAAAGAUGAG
RNAcentral lists this non-coding RNA (93 nucleotides) under uncultured Ruminococcus sp. RNAcentral describes it as "SAM riboswitch (S box leader)". It matches the Rfam family "SAM riboswitch aptamer (S box leader)". Rfam says of the family: The SAM riboswitch is found upstream of a number of genes which code for proteins involved in methionine or cysteine biosynthesis in Gram-positive bacteria. The SAM riboswitch acts at the level of transcription termination control. The record is from RNAcentral. Lineage: Bacteria; Bacillati; Bacillota; Clostridia; Eubacteriales; Oscillospiraceae.